CAUAUCCAUUAAGCGGAGGAAAAGAAACCACAGGGAUUGCCUUAGUUACGGCGAGUGAAGCGGCAACAGCUCAAAUUUGAAAUCUGGCGCAAGCCCGAGUUGUAAUUUGGAGAGCAUGCUUCUGGGCAGCGGCCGGUUUAAGUUUCUUGGAACAGAACGUCACAGAGGGUGAGAAUCCCGUAUGUGAUCGGCUAGCACCCUCUACGAAGCUGCUUCGAAGAGUCGAGUUGUUUGGGAAUGCAGCUCAAAAUGGGAGGUAAAUUUCUCCUAAGGCUAAAUAUCGGCCAGAGACCGAUAGCGCACAAGUAGAGUGAUCGAAAGAUGAAAAGCACUUUGGAAAGAGAGUUAAAAAGCACGUGAAAUUGUUGAAAGGGAAGCGCUUGCUGCCAGACUUGCCGGCGGUGUUCCGCCGGUCUUUUGACCGGUCCACUCGCCGCCGACAGGCCAGCAUCAUCCGGGGCCGCCGGAGAAAGGUGUCGGGAAUGUACGUUCCCCCGGGACUGUUAUAGCCCUUCACAGAAUACGGCGCGCCUCGGGUGAGGUCCGCGCUUCGGCUAGGAUGCUGGCGUAAUGCCUGUAAGCGGCCCGUCU
RNAcentral lists this ribosomal RNA (591 nucleotides) under uncultured Ascomycota. Its description in RNAcentral is "eukaryotic LSU rRNA". It matches the Rfam family "Eukaryotic large subunit ribosomal RNA", at positions 39 to 654 of the family's 3401-position model. The record is from RNAcentral. Lineage: Eukaryota; Fungi; Ascomycota.